GUGAAGCAUCCUGUUAAGUCAGGCAACGAGCGAGACCCACGCCCACAGUUGCCAGCGUACUCUCUGGGAGUGACGGGUACACUGUGGGGACCGCCGCUGCUAAAGCGGAGGAAGGAAUGGGCAACGGUAGGUCAGUAUGCCCCGAAUAUCCCGGGCUACACGCGAGCUACAAUGGUUGGUACAAUGGGUAUCUACCCCGAAAGGGGACGGGAAUCUCCUAAAACCAAUCUUAGUUCGGAUUGAGGGCUGCAACUCGCCCUCAUGAAGCUGGAAUCCGUAGUAAUCGCGUUUCAACAGAACGCGGUGAAUACGUCCCUGCUCCUU
Molecule: ribosomal RNA, 324 nt
Filed under: uncultured Methanosaeta sp.
Lineage: Archaea; Methanobacteriati; Methanobacteriota; Methanomicrobia; Methanotrichales; Methanotrichaceae
Description: bacterial SSU rRNA
Rfam family: Archaeal small subunit ribosomal RNA
Source: RNAcentral